GCAUAAGUGAAACUAUCAUACAAAUCUUAUACAGUAAUUGAAUUUUCACAUUCCAAUAGGAUAGAUAUAGCUCUAUAACCACUAUUUGAGGUUUACUAUUUAUGUAUAUGUAUGUUACUGUUCUUUUAACAAUACAUCAAAUGGACAUUGCUUAUAAGUUAUUUUCUUGAAUGUUGAUGUAUUAUUUUUAUUUGUUUGAAUUUGUGAAUGUUUGAUUUUGUUAGGAUGUGUAAUAUUCGAAUCUUAAGAUGAUUUUGAACUAUUUUUUUUAGGAUACAUCACCUUGGUAGCCAGUGUUGUAUGUACAAGUGAUAGAACGAUUUAAUUACCAUUAAACCUACCAAAUAGUUGUCUUUGUGUGAGGUCUUUUUAAAAAUUUAAUAUGAUGCAAAGCACUCUGAUAAAGUAGUACCAGUGUUCUUUAAAUAUACUUGUAGUGAUUGUGAAUAGAUAACAAAAAAACCUUAUAACGUUAAAUUAUUUUAUUUGAAUUAUAGGAGUUGACGAACAAUGUUUGCCCCACAUCUCACUUUAUUCAUGUGUAACUGUUUUUGUCUAAUCCAACGUUAAAAACACAAAUAUCAUAAUCUAAGGCUAAAUUAAUCUCUCAAUGUUACAUAUACACCCUAAUUAUGAUAUGUGGUGAAAUACAAAACUACUGAAGAGACAGCAAUAUGGCGAUUUGACAUUAAAUGAUUUUGUGUAAGUAUUGCCAUGAUCGUGUAUACUAGAAAUAUUAAUUAGGCAAUAUGGCAUAAUUAAGACUCGAGUGAAAUAUUGAAAUUUUAUUAAAAUGGUGCAUGCAAAUGUAAUAUUCUAGCUCAUUUUCCAUACGAUAUUGAUUCAUACAAUGCUGCAACAAAAAUUGGUGUUUUAAACCUUAUAUUAAUCAAUAUUUUCUGGAAUUCAACGUUACAAAAGCAUUGUCUACUUAAGAAAAGUUUUAAAGCACAGUUAAUAUCACAUAUUUUUAUAAUACAUGUUGACUGAAUUAUACAU
Molecule: long non-coding RNA, 999 nt
Filed under: Mytilus galloprovincialis (Mediterranean mussel)
Lineage: Eukaryota; Metazoa; Mollusca; Bivalvia; Mytilida; Mytilidae
Source: RNAcentral